RNAcentral lists this ribosomal RNA (465 nucleotides) under Vreelandella stevensii. RNAcentral's name for it is "partial 16S ribosomal RNA". It matches the Rfam family "Bacterial small subunit ribosomal RNA", at positions 338 to 795 of the family's 1533-position model. The record is from RNAcentral. Lineage: Bacteria; Pseudomonadati; Pseudomonadota; Gammaproteobacteria; Oceanospirillales; Halomonadaceae.
CCUACGGGAGGCUGCAGUGGGGAAUAUUGGACAAUGGGCGAAAGCCUGAUCCAGCCAUGCCGCGUGUGUGAAGAAGGCCUUCGGGUUGUAAAGCACUUUCAGUGGGGAAGAAAGCCUUGGGGCUAAUACCCUCGAGGAAGGACAUCACCCACAGAAGAAGCACCGGCUAACUCCGUGCCAGCAGCCGCGGUAAUACGGAGGGUGCGAGCGUUAAUCGGAAUUACUGGGCGUAAAGCGCGCGUAGGCGGUCUGAUAAGCCGGUUGUGAAAGCCCCGGGCUCAACCUGGGAACGGCAUCCGGAACUGGCAGGCUAGAGGGCAGGAGAGGAAGGUAGAAUUCCCGGUGGAGCGGUGAAAUGCGUAGAGAUCGGGAGGAAUACCAGUGGCGAAGGCGGCCUUCUGGACUGACACUGACGCUGAGGUGCGAAAGCGUGGGGAGCAAACAGGAUUAGAUACCCGUGUAGUC